RNAcentral lists this transfer RNA (1022 nucleotides) under Bos indicus x Bos taurus (hybrid cattle). RNAcentral describes it as "lncRNA (ENSBIXG00000013865.1)". The stretch from base 674 to 745 matches the Rfam family "tRNA". Lineage: Eukaryota; Metazoa; Chordata; Mammalia; Artiodactyla; Bovidae. The record is from RNAcentral.
CGGAAUGAUACUUACCGGUCUAUCUUAGGAAAGUUUAAAUGAGCUGUGGAGAGAGGCAGAAGCUGCUUGGUAUUAAGAAAAGCAUAUACAAGAAAGAAAAAAAACAUAUGCAAAUAAAGGAACUAUUACUGUGCAAAAAUGGACUGAGAUCAGAGUUUCAGACACAGCAGGAGCAGAUUUGAUAUGCCUGAUUAAUUCAUUAAACAAAUUAAAAUCAUAAACACCUGAAAACUAGAAACCGUUUGCUUAUAGCUCUGGGUUCAUCUUAGAUGAGACUGAAAGACAGAAGGCAAAGGAAGAAGCUCCAAAGAGUCUAGGGCUUGCUGGGCCCCGAAGUCAGGCCCGGGGGAGGCUGAGGUGGCCGUGAUGGCGGCAGAGUGACUGCUGAAGGACAGGAGGUGCCACGGCCAAGAGAGUCUCUGGUGACAACAGCUGAGGCAGAGGGGUGACACGGACCUGCUCACUGCGACUGAAGAGCACUCUGGCUCUUAGUGACAUGAGGGAAUUACGCUUCUCUGGUUAUGAAAAAAGGUUCCCAUCAUCUUCCUCCUUCCUGCCCCACAGGAAGGGGACAGGGAAAGACCCACGCCGUGGAGGUGAGGAGUAAGAACCAGGACAGGAGACUUCUGAGUGAGCUGAUGCUGAUACUGAUCAAACAUGAAAAUGGGGGAAUUCCCUGGCGGUCCAGUGGUGAGGACUUGAUGCUUUCACUGUGGUGGCCCAGGUUCAAUCCCUGGCGAGGGAACUAAUAUCCUGCAAGCCACACAGUGUGGCAAAAACAGAAAGACAAACAAAAACGCCAUGACAACAGGAUCAGAGACAACUACUGAAAAGCAAAUUACAGAUUCUUCAAAACUGACUAUGUGGGAUAAGAAGAGCCCAAAUGUAGUUGGGCCAGAUACGACUAACACUAAUUAGAAAGUCAUUCCGUUCUCUAAUCCCAACAUAGACUCAAACUGGCCUUGACGUCACUGUACCAUCCCAACCACCAUCACCUGGACACCUCACGCCCUCUCUUCUUC